Molecule: non-coding RNA, 159 nt
Filed under: human gut metagenome
Source: RNAcentral
GCCUUGCAGGUGCCCGCCAGGACGCGGGUGAAAAGGGAAUCCGGUGUAAGUCCGGAACGAUGCCGUCACUGUGAGAAGGCCGUAGCUGUCCGAAACCAAUGGGAAACCGUGAAGGGGACCGCUGCCAUGGCCUCGAGUCAGGAGACCUGCCGCAGGGUU